UUACCUCUGACAAAACUAUGCAGGAUGCUAAUGCUGGGGUCCAUAUAUCGCAGUUAGAUAAAGAAGGAAGUAUCUCCUCUAUAAUACCAGGUAAAGUCUCACAGACCCCUGGCCCUCGCUCCAGUGCCUUGCAAUCUGGUCAGGAAGGUAGAAUUCCUAUUGUUCGUGAAAAAGUGUCAGAAGAUGGAUAUCAUUGGCGAAAAUAUGGGCAAAAACUUGUUAAAGGAAAUGAGUUCAUUCGGAGCUAUUACAAAUGUACACA
This 262-nucleotide unclassified non-coding RNA is filed under the name Hevea brasiliensis (rubber tree). Lineage: Eukaryota; Viridiplantae; Streptophyta; Magnoliopsida; Malpighiales; Euphorbiaceae. The record is from RNAcentral.